CUUCUUUCUCAGAGACACCGUAUACAUGACAAUAGACCAUCGAGAAAACGUCUAAGAUUGGUCAACGCAGUUCUGAUUCUUGUAAAUACAUGUUUUUGAGCUUCUUUCCAUUCGCAACGUCGCGAUAAUGAUUUUGACCAAAUUUUUGAUAAUCGUCGCUAUUUUGUCGUUUAACUAAUUGUAAGAUUCUACUUAAUAUACAAUUUCCAGUAAGAAUACUACUAUUACUACUACUACUACUACUUAUCGUUAGAAUCCGAUUCAUGAGAACGCGUAUUGCUUACAACAGUUCCAUUCACACGGAGUUUUUCUUCGUAGUUAUCAAAUAAGAAUAAAUAGUAGUUAUUUAGGGUUCAUACUCCGCGACGAGCUCGGAACAGUGCAUGUUUGUCCUCGAUGUUAAAGCAUAUGGUAAUCCGCUAUUCUAAAGCUUAUGUUAGUUAUAUCUAACGAUAUAGUGUCUUUUUAUAUGCAUUGAAGAAAGUUCCUUUAUCUUCUUACCGCUUGAAAGAUGAUUUAUUAGAGAAAGAAAAAAAUUCCAAAACAUACAGAUAACGAUUCAGAUAUAUUACAAAUGGAUAAAAAAUUUCUAUUUAUCAUUUCCUGCAAAUAGCAAUAAGUUCUUGAACGUCUCGUCUCGAAGAAUCUCACGAAGAUACAAUUUUAUAAGGAAAAAUCAAAUUAUUUGAAGAAAAUACGUCGUCGAUGGUCAAACCGUCGCGAUAAUCUUUGACUUUCGAAAAGGAAAAAUUUCUCAUCGUACGUUACAACUUUCUACUAUGUUCUAUCGCGUAAGUAUUAUUGGUAAAUAUGAAAAAAAAGGUUUAUUUGCAUUUACGAGAAUAUAUUACAAAUAUAUUACAAAAAUAAUGAAUAUUACCUUUUUAUAUUAAAUCCAAGCGUCAUCAGAUUUGUAAUCAUUUCAAAUUAAACAAAUUUGUAUCCACGUAUAAUUGUCGUUCUAUUGCGAUAAUUAUUUCCCUAUCGAUAUUUAUAAAUAAAUCGAUUAUAAACGAGUUGGUUAGAUUAAAAAUCAUAUCUCGUAGUUUAUAAACCUCGAAUGUAACGAUAUGAGUCAGGAACUCGAUAAUCAUGUACUACACAGAAUGACACCUACGCGACGUCGCGUGUCAAUGACACAAAAUAGCGUAUGCCUAAACGUGAAAGUGGUACGUGCAGGUUCUAACUAACGGAUGUAAUCGAGGAAAUCGUGAAUUAAGUAUGUAUGAUGAGUAUCUCAACCCUUCGUUGGAGAGCUUCGUAACGGAACACCAAUUCUGCUGUCGAGAGCGACAUAACUGUUCCUUUUUAGUACGUUAAGUUCAUUUAACGACACAGCAGCAUUUAUACGACAAAUUAUAAUCAAUACAAAAUAAAUAACAAAAUGAUGUUACAUUCGUUAAGUAACAUUACUAGCUAGGGAGUAACUCAUCUUACUAACUGCUUCGCAAUUAACUGAAACCGAACAUGCAAUUCAAACAUGGCCAGACUUCGUAAGUACAAUGCACCGUGCAUCGUAUCUAAACACUGUAACUGCGUUUACUUAUCACGUUUCAAAAGAAUGAGAGAAAGAGAGAGAGAGAGAGACAAACAGAGACAGAGAGAAAAAACAAUCAGAAGAAAUUUAUACGAUCUCACGAAGAAGAAUGACGUUAAAAAACGAGACUUUAUUAAAGCUCAGAAAAA
RNAcentral lists this long non-coding RNA (1686 nucleotides) under Polistes fuscatus (common paper wasp). Its description in RNAcentral is "uncharacterized LOC122523470". The record is from RNAcentral. Lineage: Eukaryota; Metazoa; Arthropoda; Insecta; Hymenoptera; Vespidae.